GUCUAAUGUGAAAUCUCCGAGCCUAACUCGGAAACUGCAUCGGAUACUAUCCGGCUAGAGGAAUGGAGGGGAGACUGGAAUACUUGGUGUAGCAGUGAAAUGCGUAGAUAUCAAGUGGAACACCAGUGGCGAAGGCGAGUCUCUGGACAUUUCCUGACGCUGAGGCACGAAAGCUAGGGGAGCAAACAGG
Molecule: ribosomal RNA, 190 nt
Filed under: uncultured bacterium
Lineage: Bacteria
Description: partial 16S ribosomal RNA
Rfam family: Bacterial small subunit ribosomal RNA
Source: RNAcentral